UGUUUAUGGGUUUUUAUCAUAAAUAUUUUCUGCCCGGUGAUUUUUAACGGCCGCGGUACUCUGACCGUGCAAAGGUAGCAUAAUCAUUUGCCUUUUUAUUGGGGGCUGGAAUGAAGGGGAUUACGUGAUCUUAGCUGUCUCUUUUUUUUGUUGGAAAUUGCUAUUCUUGUGAAGAAGCAAGAGUUCUAAAAAAAGACAAGAAGACCCUAUUAAGCUUUAUUUAUGUGUUUUAUAAGAAACUACUUAGAAGUAAGUUUUUAUAUUUGUUAAAUUUAAUUGGGGUGAUUAAAGAAGAGAAGAUCUUCUUUUUUCUAACAAACUAUUUGUUUAAAAUAGGGCCAGAAAUUCUGAAAAAGAGAAUAAGUUACUAUAGGGAUAACAGCGUAAUUUUUUCUGAGAGUUCUUAUUGAAGAAAGGGAUUGCGACCUCGAUGUUGACUUAUUAUUUCCUCUUAUGGCGCAGUAGCCAGAAGGGUUAGUCUGUUCGACUAUUAAAAUAGU
RNAcentral lists this ribosomal RNA (500 nucleotides) under Lineidae sp. KuramBio1 12-5. RNAcentral describes it as "partial large subunit ribosomal RNA". It matches the Rfam family "Bacterial large subunit ribosomal RNA", at positions 1832 to 2597 of the family's 2925-position model. The record is from RNAcentral. Lineage: Eukaryota; Metazoa; Nemertea; Pilidiophora; Heteronemertea; Lineidae. RNAcentral also lists the same sequence under 1 other name.